Molecule: ribosomal RNA, 387 nt
Filed under: uncultured bacterium
Lineage: Bacteria
Description: partial 16S ribosomal RNA
Rfam family: Bacterial small subunit ribosomal RNA
Source: RNAcentral
CCUACGGGAGGCAGCAGUGGGGAAUAUUGGUCAAUGGGGGAAAGGCUGAAGCAGCAAAGUCGCGUGAAGGAUGAAGGUUCUAGGGUUGUUAAACUUCUUUGAGAGGGGAAUAAAUGUAGCCACGUGUGGAUAUUUGCAUGUAUACUUUGAUUACGCAUGGGCUGACUCCGUGCCAGCAGCCGCUGUAAUACGGAGGAUGCGAGCGUUAUGAGGAUUCAGUGGGGUUAAAGGGUGCGUAGGUUGUUUUUUAAGUCAGAGGUGAAAUUUUGUAGCUCAACCAUAAAAUUGCCGUUGAAACUGGAAGUCUUGAGUGUGUUUGAGGUAGGCGGAAUGCGUGGUGUAGGGGUGAAAUGCAUAGAUAUCACGCAGAAUUCCGAUUGCGAAGGC